UACGGAAGGCAGCAGGGGGAAUAUUGCACAAUGGGCGCAAGCCUGAUGCAGCCAUGCCGCGUGUAUGAAAAAGGCCUUCGGGUUGUAAAGUACUUUCAGUCGUGAGGAAGGUGUUAAGGUUAAUAACCUUAGCAAUUGACGUUAGCGACAGAAGAAGCACCGGCUAACUCCGUGCCAGCAGCCGCGGUAAUACGGAGGGUGCGAGCGUUAAUCGGAAUUACUGGGCGUAAAGGGCACGCAGGCGGUUAAUUAAGUUGGAUGUGAAAUCCCCGGGCUUAACCUGGGAAUGGCAUUCAAGACUGGUUAGCUAGAGUCUUGUAGAGGGGGUAGAAUUCCAUGUGUAGCGGUGAAAUGCGUAGAGAUGUGGAGGAUACCGGUGGCGAAGGCGGCCCCUGGACAAGACUGACGCUCAUGUGCGAAAGCGUGGGGAGCAAACGAGGAUUAGAUACCC
Molecule: ribosomal RNA, 451 nt
Filed under: uncultured bacterium
Lineage: Bacteria
Description: bacterial SSU rRNA
Rfam family: Bacterial small subunit ribosomal RNA
Source: RNAcentral